AGAUAGUGUGUGAGUGGAUGAAGCAGCAAAAACACACGCUGCUAAUUAAUUGAUUUAUGUCUAGCUCAAAGUAGUCCAUAUCAAAAAGACUGUUUGGGGCUGCAGGAAUUCAGUGGAUAAUUGCAGGCAACGCAAGGGAAGGUGGACCAGAAAGGUGAGGAGGAUGCUCCCUUCGAGGGUGGAGAGAGUAAGACUGGCAUUGCACAUGGGUGGGGGGGCCCGUCGAGGCCCCUCUUUGCUUCUGAGAGUCUGUUUUCAUCGACAGUCUUCUACUAAAUGUACAUAGCAGCUUUUCAGGGCAAGGGUCACCGGGAUUCAUCUUUAUGCCUCCCCAGCCCGGGAGCCACCACCUCCACCAGACCCAUCCACACAGUUGAAUCUCAUCUCAAGUUCUCUGGUGCCCGACCCCCCACGCACACCGUGCUGGUCUGGGCAUCUCACCUGCAUCCGCACAAGUGCCUCAGGAGGGUGGAGUGUCUGGUGCUCGGCAUUGGAGGCUCAGCCCACACUGUGCCGGGCAGUCGCAGGCCUCCCAGAUGAAUGAAGCAUGAGUGAAUCCCGAUCCUGUUAUCACAGCUUCUCCCUACGCAUCCCAGGCAGAAUGUUGUGCAAAAAC
RNAcentral lists this long non-coding RNA (616 nucleotides) under Homo sapiens (human). RNAcentral's name for it is "HSALNT0083237". The record is from RNAcentral. Lineage: Eukaryota; Metazoa; Chordata; Mammalia; Primates; Hominidae.